RNAcentral lists this ribosomal RNA (518 nucleotides) under uncultured microorganism. Its description in RNAcentral is "bacterial SSU rRNA". It matches the Rfam family "Bacterial small subunit ribosomal RNA", at positions 9 to 521 of the family's 1533-position model. The record is from RNAcentral.
GAGUUUGAUCCUGGCUCAGAUUGAACGCUGGCGGCAGGCCUAACACAUGCAAGUCGAGCGGAUGAAGGGAGCUUGCUCCUGGAUUCAGCGGUGGACGGGUGAGUAAUGCCUAGGAAUCUGCCUGGUAGUGGGGGAUAACGUCCGGAAACGGGCGCUAAUACCGCAUACGUCCUGAGGGAGAAAGUGGGGGAUCUUCGGACCUCACGCUAUCAGAUGAGCCUAGGUCGGAUUAGCUAGUUGGUGGGGUAAAGGCCUACCAAGGCGACGAUCCGUAACUGGUCUGAGAGGAUGAUCAGUCACACUGGAACUGAGACACGGUCCAGACUCCUACGGGAGGCAGCAGUGGGGAAUAUUGGACAAUGGGCGAAAGCCUGAUCCAGCCAUGCCGCGUGUGUGAAGAAGGUCUUCGGAUUGUAAAGCACUUUAAGUUGGGAGGAAGGGCGAGUAAGUUAAUACCUUGCUGUUUUGACGUUACCAACAGAAUAAGCACCGGCUAACUUCGUGCCAGCCGCCGCCGU